CCUACGGGGGGCAGCAGUGAGGAAUAUUGGUCAAUGGCCGGAAGGCUGAACCAGCCAUGCCGCGUGAAGGUCAGUGCCCUAUGGGCGUUAAACUUCUUUUGUGCGGGAGCAAUAAUGGUCACGUGUGGCCAGACGAGAGUACCGUACGAAUAAGCAUCGGCUAACUCCGUGCCAGCAGCCGCGGUAAUACGGGGGAUGCAAGCGUUAUCCGGAUUUAUUGGGUUUAAAGGGUGCGUAGGCUGUGAGGUAAGUCAGCGGUGAAAUGCCCCCGCUCACCGGGGUGAAGUGCCAUUGAUACUGCCUGGCUGGAAUGCGGAUGCCGUGGGAGGAAUGUGUGGUGUAGCGGUGAAAUGCAUAGAUAUCACACAGAACACCGAUUGCGAAGGCAUCUCACGAAUCCGCGAUUGACGCUGAUGCACGAAAGCGUGGGUAUCAAACAGGAUUAGAUACCCGGGUAGUC
This 460-nucleotide ribosomal RNA is filed under the name uncultured bacterium. RNAcentral's name for it is "partial 16S ribosomal RNA". It matches the Rfam family "Bacterial small subunit ribosomal RNA", at positions 338 to 795 of the family's 1533-position model. The record is from RNAcentral.